CACGGAGUUAGCCGAUGCUUUUUCUUCGGAUACACGCAGUCCGGGACACGUCCCGGGUUUUGUUCUCCGACAAAAGAGGUUUACAACCCAUAGGGCCGUCUUCCCUCACGCGGCUUGGCUGGUUCAGGAUCUCUCCCAUUGACCAAUAUUCCUCACUGCUGCCUCUCGUAGGAGUCUGGUCCGUGUCUCAGUACCAGUGUGGGGGACCUUCCUCUCAGAACCCCUACGCAUCGUCGCCACGGUGGGCCGUUACCCCGCCGUCAAGCUAAUGCGCCGCAUGCCCAUCCUCUUCCGAUGAAUCUUUCCUCGAUCUCGGAUGCCCGAAACCGAUAUACGCGGGAUUAGCCUCCCUUUCGGAAGGUUGUCCCCCUGAAGAGGGCAGGUUGCAUACGUGUUACUCACCCGUGCGCCGGUCGCCGGCAAGGAAAGCAAGCUUCCCUCCCGAUGCCCCUCGACUUGCAUGUGUUAAGCCUGCCGCUAGCGUUCAUCCUGAGCCAGGAUCAAACUCU
RNAcentral lists this ribosomal RNA (509 nucleotides) under uncultured Bacteroidales bacterium. RNAcentral describes it as "partial 16S ribosomal RNA". Lineage: Bacteria; Pseudomonadati; Bacteroidota; Bacteroidia; Bacteroidales. The record is from RNAcentral.